CCUACGGGAGACAGCAGUAGGGAAUAUUGCUCAAUGGGGGAAACCCUGAAGCAGCAACGUCGCGUGGAGGAUGACGGUUUUAGGAUUGUAAAACCCUUUUGUGAGAGAAGAUAAUGACGGUAUCCCACGAAUAAGCAGCGGAUAACAACGUGCAAGCAGGCGUGGUAAUACGGAGGGAGCCAGCGUUACUCGGAAUAACUGGGCGUAAAGGGUGCGUAGGGGGGCUUGUAAGUCAGAUGUUAAAUCCUGUAGCUUAACGCACGAACGGCAUUUGAAACUAUUUGUCUAGAGUGUGGAAGAGGUAGGUGGAAUUCUUGGUGUAGCGGUGAAAUGCGUAGAUAUCACGAGGAAUACUCAUUGCGAAGGCGGCAUACUGGCACUUUACUGACGCUCAUGCACGAAAGCGUGGGGAGCGAACAGGAUUAGAUACCCCGGUAGUC
RNAcentral lists this ribosomal RNA (440 nucleotides) under uncultured bacterium. RNAcentral describes it as "partial 16S ribosomal RNA". It matches the Rfam family "Bacterial small subunit ribosomal RNA", at positions 338 to 795 of the family's 1533-position model. The record is from RNAcentral.